CUUGUUUCGUUCCACUUUAAAUUGUUUUUAUUUAAUAGGCCGUCGAAUCCCUAGUCCAACCGACAUGUGCUUUCGGACACUGGCAAAACACGUUGGUUUUACAUCUAUCAAUAUAUAUUUGCAAGUCUAUUAUAAAUUGUAGUUUUCGUUUUUUGUUUCGUGCCACUUAGUUUUCCUUUAAUAGGCCGUCGAAUCCCUAGUCUAACAGACAUGUGCUUUCGGUGUGGUAAAAGAAGCCACUGGAGCUCAAGCUGCCCAAAAAUUUUGCCUCGACACGACUCAGUCAGUUUGAACCGGGAUAUUUUCCAAGAUCCACAGCCCCGAGCAGCUCAGUUGAGAGAGUAAACGUUAGCCGAUAAUCCAUUGCAAGAUGUUUAUGAAGACAUAACUCAGG
Paramuricea clavata is the source of this 394-nucleotide non-coding RNA. Lineage: Eukaryota; Metazoa; Cnidaria; Anthozoa; Malacalcyonacea; Plexauridae. The record is from the annotation of a GenBank genome assembly.